This 422-nucleotide ribosomal RNA is filed under the name uncultured bacterium. RNAcentral describes it as "partial 16S ribosomal RNA". It matches the Rfam family "Bacterial small subunit ribosomal RNA", at positions 355 to 766 of the family's 1533-position model. The record is from RNAcentral.
UGGGGAAUAUUGCACAAAUGGGCGCAAGCCUGAUGCAGCCAUGCCGCGUGUGUGAAGAAGGCCUCGGGUUGUAAAGCACUUUCAGCGAGGAGGAAGGUGGUGAGCUUAAUACGCUCAUCAAUUGACGUUACUCGCAGAAGAAGCACCGGCUAACUCCGUGCCGGCAGCCGCGGUAAUACGGAGGGUGCAAGCGUUAAUCGGAAUUACUGGGCGUAAAGCGCACGCAGGCGGUUUGUUAAGUCAGAUGUGAAAAUCCCCGGGCUCAACCUGGGAACUGCAUUUGAAAACUGGCAAGCUAGAGUCUCGUAGAGGGGGGUAGAAUUCCAGGUGUAGCGGUGAAAUGCGUAGAGAUCUGGAGGAAUACCGGUGGCGAAGGCGGCCCCCUGGACGAAGACUGACGCUCAGGUGCGAAAAGCGUGGGG